CCACUUGUACGGGGGAGUUGUAAAAGAAAGGAUCAUUAAUUUGGUUCUCUCCUUAUAGCUCUCCAAAGAGAGGGUAAGAUGUUACAAGAACGAUCUUUGCCUUAUAACAYAYMCCYCUCUUUUAAAAAUGUUUAUGAACGUCAAACAAUGUAGGCUCGCCUUAAAAACGUGUAGCUGAAAUUAUAAAAUUAUACAACUUUUAACAACGGAUCUCUUGGCUCUCGCAUCGAUGAAGAACGCAGCGAAAUGCGAUAAGUAAUGUGAAUUGCAGAAUUCAGUGAAUCAUCGAAUCUUUGAACGCACCUUGCGCUCCCUGGUAUUCCGGGGAGCAUGCCUGUUUGAGUGUCAUUAAAUUCUCAACCUCGAACCGUUUGUUUACAGACUUUACGAGGCUUGGACUUUGGAGUGUGCCGGUCUCUAACGGGAUCGACUCCUCUUUAAAUGCAUUAGCUGGAACCUCCUGUGGACCAGACUACGGUGUGAUAAUUAUCUACGCUGUUGGUCUUGUG
Molecule: ribosomal RNA, 509 nt
Filed under: Typhula ishikariensis
Lineage: Eukaryota; Fungi; Basidiomycota; Agaricomycetes; Agaricales; Typhulaceae
Description: eukaryotic LSU rRNA
Source: RNAcentral